AUGCUAAACGACUGCUUAUUAUAUCCCACUUUGUUUCACGUUAAACUCAGUCUACUUUCUCUAUUCUCUAUAAUCCACCGACAUUAUUUUUCGAUUCCAAGAACACACACAAAACCUUCAUCCGUUUUGAUUCUACUUCAAUCGAUCAAUAAUAACAACAUAACUUAUGUUCAUCUUUUCUCUAAUCCCAUUUUUGGUUUCAUCGAUAUCUUUCUAUUCUGA
Non-coding RNA from Vicia faba (fava bean), 222 nucleotides. The record is from the annotation of a GenBank genome assembly. NCBI's taxonomy places the organism in Eukaryota, Viridiplantae, Streptophyta, Magnoliopsida, Fabales, Fabaceae.